GAUGAACGCUGGCGGCGUGCCUAAUACAUGCAAGUCGAGCGAACAGACGAGGAGCUUGCUCCUCUGACGUUAGCGGCGGACGGGUGAGUAACACGUGGAUAACCUACCUAUAAGACUGGGAUAACUUCGGGAAACCGGAGCUAAUACCGGAUAAUAUAUUGAACCGCAUGGUUCAAUAGUGAAAGACGGUUUUGCUGUCACUUAUAGAUGGAUCCGCGCCGCAUUAGCUAGUUGGUAAGGUAACGGCUUACCAAGGCAACGAUGCGUAGCCGACCUGAGAGGGUGAUCGGCCACACUGGAACUGAGACACGGUCCAGACUCCUACGGGAGGCAGCAGUAGGGAAUCUUCCGCAAUGGGCGAAAGCCUGACGGAGCAACGCCGCGGGAGUGGUGAAGGUCUUCGGAUCGUAAAACUCUGUUAUUAGGGAAGAACAAAUGUGUAAGUAACUAUGCACGUCUUGACGGUACCUAAUCAGAAAGCCACGGCUAACUACGUG
RNAcentral lists this ribosomal RNA (497 nucleotides) under uncultured bacterium. Its description in RNAcentral is "partial 16S ribosomal RNA". It matches the Rfam family "Bacterial small subunit ribosomal RNA", at positions 28 to 507 of the family's 1533-position model. The record is from RNAcentral.